Long non-coding RNA from Vidua macroura (Pin-tailed whydah), 4354 nucleotides. RefSeq lists it as uncharacterized. The transcript is spliced from 2 exons. The record is from RefSeq and is a predicted model, not a curated record. NCBI's taxonomy places the organism in Eukaryota, Metazoa, Chordata, Aves, Passeriformes, Viduidae.
UGUUUUUAAGAAAAGGGUUCAGCAAUUCUUAAAAUACCUUUGGAAGAGGACAGGUUGCUUAUUUGCAAUAUGAGAACACAUUAAAACUUCAACAAGUUCAGGACUACACUGCUGUCCCAAUUACAAAGGGACUCUCUAGAAUAACUGUUGCCAGUGAGCUUUGUAUCUGAGUUUUUACUGGGUCAUGAGCAGUUUGAUUCUUGUUAAAUUCAGGGACAAGGUAGGAACUUCUCUUUUGAUUAUAGGUUUUCUAUGUCUAGUAUCUAGAAAUUACCCAGACAUAGCAGUGGAAAAUCAUCUUUUUAAGAAUCUCAGCUAGAGGAGGAGCUCUGCCUGCAGGUAGUGCAUAGGCUGCCUGCAGCACUCUGCAAUGCCCAAGACCAGGAGGAGCAAGGCCCAAGAUGGAUAGCAUUACAUUAAAUGCUGAGGUGUUUAGAGGUAAAGGAAAGAAGUCUGAAUUUGAUGUUUGAGGAGGCCAGUGGAGGAGUUAAUAUAAAAAAUAAACCGAGGGUCUUUUAACAGCAACAUUUAAAUAGAUCUGAAUAAAGAAAAAAUGUGCUGCCAGAAAAGCUAAGUGGGGUCAUCUGAGGCAGUCCCAAAAGCUUGUUCAGUGGAAGAUGGCUUAUGCACAAAAAAUUUAAAGGUUUUAAGUCAUACAAAGAAUGUAGUAGUCAGAAUUCUCUGAAGUAAUUUAGAGAAAAUUACUUACUAAGGAUCACUAAGGAUCCCACUCUGAAGUCUUGAUCCUUGAGACUCUGUGCCUGUGUGUAGAUUACCAUGGUGUUUGAUUUGGUGGGGGAGAAUCAGAGAAUCAGUGGAUAAAAGUGGUUACUGCUGAGACUUACACAUGUACACUAUAUGCAUCUCAAGACUACAUAUAUGCUUCCUUGGAUAGAUGUCCCUACUGCAUAUGCACUUUGAAGCAGGCCAAGUAAUGGGUUCAGAUUCUUAGUGUCUCUUUUAGAGACUGGAGUAUAUUUGGAAGGCAGCUGAGCCUCCAGUGCAGUUUUCUCCAAAAUAAGCUUAAUUCUUAUUACACCAAAACCACCCUGCAAACUGAAACAAGGUUCAACAAGGGACAAUGAUUGGGGAUUUAGAAGAACACUAUUGUCUCAAACCAAAAUGCUAAUAGAAGCUAGAACUUGAACUAUUCCUCAUCUGUUCUCAUCCCAUCACAUAACUUAGUAGCUGAAUACAAAUUGAAGGAACCCUCUUCUACCUUCCUCCCUUUUCCCCAGCACUACCUGCCCAAAAAAAACCAAACAAUCAAAAAUACCCCAAACCUUAAAAUGAAACAACUGGACAUUAAGGGGAUAUGAGUAUGUGGAAGAAAAGAGAGGAAUAAUUUUCAGUCAGUAUAAAUUGAAAAAUAUGACACUAUAAAUUGGUUUAUUAAACAUAAAAUCUCUGGAAAAAUGUACAUUUUUCAGAUUCCAGAUGUCUCUCCCCACAAGUUUUCUUACUAGAUGGUGAAAUCUUUCUUUCUUUCUUAAUAUGUCUUUAUGUUCAAUGGUAGCACGCCAUUCAGACAAAGGGAAAAAAAAGGGUACUUGUGUAGAGCUUGCUUGUUGGAACAAUAUGCUUACUGUGUUCUAUGGUCAGAUGAGCACUUAUUUGUUAUAAAUAGAAUGCAUUUGAAUUACUGUUACAUGUUUAUCUCAUUGUGUCACUUUAGGUUUUGAAAUACUAGUAAGAAUUGCCUAUGCAUUAUGCAGCAUUAUUUGAAUUAUUCAUGUGUGGCAAGUGGAGUUCUGCACUUUAAAAUGUUGCCUUGGCCUAAUAUUUAUAUUUAUGCUGUAUUUUUGUGUAAUCCUAAGGUUUUGUAGGGGAAAAAGAGUGUAUUUUUUCACUGUACUGAAAUUUUCAGUAAGUUGGCUUUCUUUUAGAAAAGGGAACUUUAAAAUUACCCUGUCUAAAAUUCUGAGCCUGAUUAUGCACUCAUGAACGGAAAAAAAAAUAACGGUUUUAUGAACUUGAAUGCUAACAUUUAAUGUAAAAAGAAGUGCAGAUAAAUAGAUUUUUUUUCAAAUAUAAAUUAUGAUAAUGCAAGUUAGUAAGAGGUAUUACUGUUGAAUAUCUUCAGUUAAAUUGAGCAAAAAAGAACAUAGUAAUUCUUGAUUAUUCAUUUAAAAAGAAUACUUAAGCCCAAGUUUUUUCAAAGAAUAUCCCGGUUUUAAAAGGAAAAGAUAUUAAUGUCAUUACUCAGAUAAGCUGUUUAAAAAUACUUCUUUAAGCAUUUCCAGGAACAAUCCAUAACAGAUGACAAGGUGGACACAUUUUAAAGUUCUGUAUUUUCAUUAAUAAACUAUGCUGCUUUAUUUGCAGCCUGGUAUGUGUUAGGAGUCAACUCACCUGUAAAAUGAUAGUGUAGAGUCACAGAAUAAGCUCCUGGCCUACAUGGCACCAUCCCCAAGGAGAGGUGAAAAAUUAAUUUCAGAAGACAUUUGAAAAUACUGGAGCAGAAUACAAAAUACUGCAAAGUAGAAAGGAGAUCGAUCUGAGGAACUCAUAGAAAGAAGAUGACAGGCCAGUGAAAUUUUAGGUGUGAAAUGCUCUGAAAAAAAUAUACAUUCCAAGGUAAUGUUCCAUUAGAUCAUGGAUGUCAUUCCUUCUAAAAGUCAUGGAGGUCCAAAACCUGACUAAGUUCCCAAAGCCGUUGCUUACAUGCUUAAUAGUAGAAGGCCAAAUACCUGCUUAUGGAAUAAUUAUGUAACUCUUCACAACUUCUAGAGCUCGGCUCCAAGUUUAAAUCAAAAUUACCUGUAAUGGUUCCAGAGGAAACAAUGUAAGGGCAUAUUAUGUUUUAUCUACACCUGCCCUGUGAAACAUUUAGCACUGGCCAGAACAGAGGCUGAAUUAGUCUGGUCCCAGUGAAGAAUUUCUAUUCAUGCAUGCUCCAGACAUCAUUCCCUUUCAUGUGCAUGGUGAUGCAGUAAUAACUGAGUUCAGACAGUCUGGUGUGACUGAAGUGACUGAAUACAAACUGUUUUAAAUAUCACAUUGUUUAGAAAUUAAGCUCAUUGCUGAGACCAAUAAAUACAUAUUAAAUCACACAAUCAUAUAUCUAGUACUGAACUUCUAGAUGCUAGGACUUUGGCUUAAAUCUGUGGGGGUUUUAAGCACUGUAUGUGCAACAACUGACGUUUUUCUCAACAGAGAAACCAGCAAAUGACAUCUUCUAGGUAUGAAAAAGAGUAACAAAAGCAACAAACACCAUUCUUGGGAAGCCAAAAGGACAUUCUUGGGAAGCCAAAAGCACCAUUAACAACUAUCUGUUGUUUGAAGUUAAUAGAAUUGUUAGUUUAUGUGGAAAGCCUGAGCAAUGUUUUUGGGAGGCAGUUUCCUGGAAACUUCAGUGGAAAUUCUUUCUUAGAAAAUACCCAGAAUCAGUGUGCUCCAACCAAAAGAUCCUUUGCGGCUUCUGCAGAGGCAGUCACUUCUGCAGACGUGAAUGCAUUAGUCAUGCCUAGACCCUCACUUCUUUGCUCUGUCAUGACUCGUAAGCAUGUAUUAGCUUUAAUUCUGGUAUUGGUUUGUGGUUUCUCAUAGACUGAGUCUUAGUUUGAAAAUAACUAUGGUAAAGAGUGGAGCUGGGAGAAGGAUAAGGAUAAAGGGCAAUCUUACACCAGUCUGCCUAAUGCUUCAACACAAAAUAUUUGCCCCACCAGGUAGAUGUUGUAACGUUUCAGCAGCUCUUAGACUCAAUGAUUUGGCUUAAUGACUUGAGUCAACUAAUAACAAUUGAACUCAGUCAAGGCUAGGAUAUAAUGUGUGAGCAGCUCACAAACACAUAAGGAUGUUUUACUGUGAUCUGCAUUUAAGCCAUCAGCAGCUUUCCUUGGCCAAGGGCUCCUAGGCAUAUUUAGGUACAACACACUGGAGAUAAGCCUGCAGGAGAAGGGGCAAGUUUUGGUGACAACUGAAGGCUGUAAACUGCAUCCUGUCUGGCCUUGUGGCUUUGGAGCUGGGUUGUGUACUCCUCUAACAACUUUUAGUGAUUAAGCUUUUAGAAAGCAUUAGCAUGCGAUCCUUAUCUGAGGAUGUUUACAUCCCUUGCUUCAAGACAAAUUUUCUUUCCCCAAAGGAGAGUUCACAUCUUGCUGGAGUAAGUUUUUCUGAUGCUGAUUUGUCUGCUUGUCACCUGUUGUGCAUAAGCUCUGGUUCAUGUGAAAAUGCCUAACUGGAGUUAAUGUUGAAUUUAUCCUUCCUUUUGUACUUGUGCAGUUUCAAGGAAGAACUCUGUAUUAGGAGAAAUGGUAUAUGUGAUUUUCACUGUUCUGCUUGGUUUUGAUCAUGCUAAAUAGGAAGUAAUGUACUGUUGAAACAAAAUAAAGAGGCCUUGUAUUUACACCAA